Long non-coding RNA from Panicum virgatum (switchgrass), 913 nucleotides. RefSeq lists it as uncharacterized. Lineage: Eukaryota; Viridiplantae; Streptophyta; Magnoliopsida; Poales; Poaceae. The transcript has 3 exons. The record is from RefSeq and is a predicted model, not a curated record.
UCGGUCGACGCCAGUCUUUCCCUGUGUCUUCAGCGUUGGAUCGUGUUCAGCGCCACGAUCAUAGUUUAUCAAGGGCUGGGCAUCCUUUCUCGAUAAUGUGGGUCACUAGAUUACAACCAUGGGUGGCUGCGUGGGAUGAUGCAGACGAGCAGUUGGCUGAGGAUACCGGUCCACACACUGAGCCUUCGUUUCGGGCGUACCUGACCUGGUACGAACCGAAGACUCGUUGCCGUUUGACGUAUGUUGACAUGCAUCCACAGCCACAUGUUGUGACUUCGCAGGAUCGCUAUGCACGACACAGGGAUAAGGCAUUAGCUGGGGCGGUGAGUAAAUGUUGACGGCAUUUUCGAUCUUUUAAUAUUUGUAUACUAAGUUUUUUUUUGUUGCAGUUCGAGGCAUGUAGGCUGCUUGAAUUAGAUUGCUCACUGAAUGUAAUGAGGAUUCAUGGCGGGUCUACAAUGAGCGUGCCGGCACAACUCGAGGCCUGGACCACUCAACGUGAUAGAGCCCGAGGUAUCCUUCAGGCCUUUGGUACGCGGACGGAGUACGAGGAUUCCUACGGAUCGUCACAAGCGUCGAUGUCGGUUCCUUGUGGUCCCGCAUGGCAGCAGCCUCCCUUAUACCACCGACAGUACGAAGGUAUUGUGUGAUAUUUACCGAUCCGUAUGUUUAUAUGCAGUAUUUAAAUACGACUCCAUACAGGGUACGGGUACCCCGGUUCUCAGUCCUAUGGAGGGCCAGGUGCCUCACAAGGGCCUCCAUUUCAAGGAACCUAGUUUACCUCUAUGCCACAUGCUGGAGGGACUUUAGGAUCACAACAGUUCACCGGAGCGGGGCCGUCUUCAUAUCACCCUAUGCCGUCACCAGGAGGAUAUGAAGGAGCUUCUUCCUAUCCACCACCACCACCACUUCC